UCCUAGACAGCUUUAAGGGGGCUGUUC
RNAcentral lists this small RNA (27 nucleotides) under Bombyx mori (domestic silkworm). Its description in RNAcentral is "ovarian small RNA-27713". Lineage: Eukaryota; Metazoa; Arthropoda; Insecta; Lepidoptera; Bombycidae. The record is from RNAcentral.